This 316-nucleotide ribosomal RNA is filed under the name uncultured eukaryote. RNAcentral describes it as "partial 18S ribosomal RNA". It matches the Rfam family "Eukaryotic small subunit ribosomal RNA", at positions 1470 to 1796 of the family's 1831-position model. The record is from RNAcentral.
CCCUUAGAUGUUCUGGGCUGCACGCGCGCUACACUGAUACUUUCAGCGAGUCCACCACCUUGCCUGGGAAGGUGGGGUAACCUCUGGAAAGUGCAUCGUGAUGAGGAUCGAUUAUUGUAAUUAUUAAUCUUCAACGAGGAAUUCCUAGUAAGCAUGUGUCAUCAGCCCGUGCUGAUUACGUCCCUGCCCUUUGUACACACCGCCCGUCGCACCUACCGAUUGAAUGGUCCGGUGAAGCCUCCGGAUUGGCGCGCACCUCGGUGCCGCCGAGAAGUUGGCUAAACCUUACCAUUUAGAGGAAGGUGAAGUCGUANCA